CCUACGGGUGGCUGCAGUGAGGAAUAUUGGUCAAUGGGCGCGAGCCUGAACCAGCCAAGUAGCGUGAAGGAUGACUGCCCUACGGGUUGUAAACUUCUUUUAUAAAGGAAUAAAGUGAGGCACGUUUGCCUUUUUGUAUGUACUUUAUGAUUAAGGAUCGGCUAACUCCGUGCCAGCAGCCGCGGUAAUACGGAGGAUCCGAGCGUUAUCCGGAUUUAGUGGGUUUAAGGGGAGCGUAGAUGGGUUGUAAAGUCAGUUUUGAAAGUUUGCGGCUCAACCGUAAAAUUGCAAUUGAUACUGGCAGUCUUGAGUACAGUUGAGGUAGGAGGAAUUCGUGGUGGAGCGGUGAAAUGCUUAGAUAUCACGAAGAACUCCGAUUGCGAAGGCAGCUUACUAAACUGCCACUGACAUUGAUGCUCGAAAGUGUGGGUAUCAAACAGGAUUAGAUACCCUGGUAGUC
RNAcentral lists this ribosomal RNA (460 nucleotides) under uncultured bacterium. RNAcentral describes it as "partial 16S ribosomal RNA". It matches the Rfam family "Bacterial small subunit ribosomal RNA", at positions 338 to 795 of the family's 1533-position model. The record is from RNAcentral.